This 447-nucleotide long non-coding RNA is filed under the name Lepisosteus oculatus (spotted gar). RNAcentral describes it as "lncRNA (ENSLOCG00000023180.1)". Lineage: Eukaryota; Metazoa; Chordata; Actinopteri; Semionotiformes; Lepisosteidae. The record is from RNAcentral.
GCUGUAUUAACUUGUUAACGCUAACAACACAUGUGCUUCUGAAAUUCUAAAAGAUCCAGCGAUGGAUUUUAAGAGUCUUUGAAACACAAACAACUACAACACCCAGAAUCCUCCAAUACUGGUCGCUACUGACUUUCACGUAAAUGCAGAUUAAGAAAGCAUUUGGAACACGCGGCCUCUGAGAAUGACUCGACGGCGUUGCACAGAUGAAAAUGCGAUUUAAGCACGAGAAUAGGGGGGGAGUGGCAGAAUUAUCAGAGGUCUUGCCUGGGGCGCCCCGAAGAGGACGGAGCUGUACGAGUUCCACCGGCAGCACGGGGCCCGGAUGGUGGAGUUCGCCGGCUGGAGCAUGCCGGUGCAGUACCGCGACAGCCACAUCGCCUCCCACCUGCACACGCGCCAGCGCUGCUCGCUGUUCGACGUCGGCCACAUGCUGCAGGUGAGAGA